AGCGUAGGUGGCCUAACAUGUCAACUGUGAAAACCCGGAGCUCAACUCCGGACUUGCAGUUGAAACUGGUAGGCUUGAGGACGGUAGAGGAAGACGGAACUGCCAGUGUAGGGGUAAAAUCCUUAGAUAUUGGCAGGAACGCCGGUGACGAAGGUGUUUUCUGGGCCGGUUCUGACACUGAUGCUCGAAAGCCAGGGGAGCGAACG
RNAcentral lists this ribosomal RNA (206 nucleotides) under uncultured Mesotoga sp. Its description in RNAcentral is "partial 16S ribosomal RNA". It matches the Rfam family "Bacterial small subunit ribosomal RNA", at positions 568 to 774 of the family's 1533-position model. Lineage: Bacteria; Thermotogati; Thermotogota; Thermotogae; Kosmotogales; Kosmotogaceae. The record is from RNAcentral.